UACGAAGGAUGCAAGCGUUAUCCGGAUUCAUUGGGUUUAAAGGGAGCGUAGGUGGCCUUAUAAGUCAGUGGUGAAAUCUCUGGGCUUAACCCAGAAAUUGCCAUUGAUACUGUAGGGCUUGAGUACAGUUGCUGUGGGCGGAAUAUGACAUGUAGUGGUGAAAUACAUAGAGAUGUCAUAGAACACCGAUUGCGAAGGCAGCUCACAAAACUGUAACUGACACUGAGGCUCGAAAGUGAGGGGAGCAAACAGG
This 253-nucleotide ribosomal RNA is filed under the name uncultured bacterium. Its description in RNAcentral is "partial 16S ribosomal RNA". It matches the Rfam family "Bacterial small subunit ribosomal RNA", at positions 524 to 776 of the family's 1533-position model. The record is from RNAcentral.